Molecule: ribosomal RNA, 253 nt
Filed under: uncultured bacterium
Lineage: Bacteria
Description: partial 16S ribosomal RNA
Rfam family: Bacterial small subunit ribosomal RNA
Source: RNAcentral
UACGAGGGGGGCAAGCGUUGUUCGGAAUUAUUGGGCGUAAAGGGUGCGUAGGCGGUCUGAUAAGUCAUCUAUGAAAUCUAUGGGCUCAACCCAUAGUCUGCAGGCGAAACUGUCGGGCUUGAGUAUGGGAGAGGUGAGUGGAAUUUCCGGUGUAGCGGUGAAAUGCGUAGAUAUGACAUAGAACAUCGAUUGCGAAGGCAGCUCGCUACACUAUGAUUGACACUGAGGCACGAAAGCGUGGGGAUCAAACAGG